Xyrauchen texanus (razorback sucker) is the source of this 1232-nucleotide long non-coding RNA. RefSeq lists it as uncharacterized. NCBI's taxonomy places the organism in Eukaryota, Metazoa, Chordata, Actinopteri, Cypriniformes, Catostomidae. The record is from RefSeq and is a predicted model, not a curated record. The transcript is spliced from 6 exons.
CUCGGGGUUACAGGAUUGGUUUUGAGUCGACAAAACCAAACCGAUGCAAUCAGGCUUUAUUGGUACCAUGAUGCAGCUCAUCAACUUUCUCUGUCAACUCAGGCUUUGAUCCUUAAGCAAUGAUUACUCCACACGCGCGUGCACAUAAAAGAGUGACGUCGACACUGAGCAACCAAUCGCGUUCGAUAUGGAUAGAGCGAGAGCUAUAUAUUUUUCCGCGCAGGAGCAAGAGAUUAUUAUUAUUAUUAUUCAGAAAUAUGAAGAAUAUAGGAGUGUUUUUCAAGCAGGCAGUAACACUGUAUCUGCUGCCAAAGCAAGAGAACAAUCUUGGAGGAAGAUUGCUGAUUGCGUUAAUGCGUAGGCUAAGUUAAACAAUUAAUGUAAAUUUAUGUAGGAUAAUCAUAUUAAAAAUGUAUUAAAUGCUAAAAUUAAAAUGUGUAUUCGUGCUGAUGUAUAUGUGUGUGUGUGUGUGUGUGUGUGUGUGUGUGUGUGUGUGUGUGUGUAGAUGUAUGUAAAGUGUGAAUGUAUAGGCUAUUACAUCCUAAGAAAGAUUGAUCUUCAUUGAUUUUUAGAUGCAACCCCAACUCCAAACGUUCUUGGCAGCAGAUCAAAACAAAAUAUAAAACUAUAAUUCAAAGUGGUGAGUAUUUACCAAAGCCUUUCGUUACUUUUGUGAACAUUUAAUCACAAACACUUGUUUGCAGCAAACAGAAAAAAGUGUGAUAAGGAAAACUGGGGAGGGCCACCUCCUCCAGAAUACACUGUGGCGGAGGAGUUGGCACUGAGUAACAACAAGGGGCGGCCGAUUAUGGAUGGGAUUGCAAGUGCUGUACAGUCUGACCCUGGUGCUGGCUCCUCUAAGCAAGUGACACUGGUAGAGGGAAAUACAGUGUCCCUGUUGAAGCCAGCACACAUGCACAUGUGCAUGUCUCCUGCACAGAGGGUGAACCAAAUGAUGAAGACACUCUGUCUGUGUCUUCAGAGACAGUUGCUGAGGAUUUUUCACAACCUGCCCCAGAAACUGAAGCCUCUACCUCAAUCGGCUUCAGAAGGAAUGUGAACAAGGUGGAAACAGACUCAGUCAGGGCCCUUUACAAAAGGAGUCUAGAACUAGACUGUUCACUGAAGGAGCUGGACUAUGAGCUGAGGAGGCUCCAAAUUAAAAAAUUAAAUUGGAGAUCAAACAGCUGGAAAAAACAGAUCUCACCACAUGACCAAUAAAACAGUUUGAG